Molecule: ribosomal RNA, 336 nt
Filed under: Triticum aestivum (bread wheat)
Lineage: Eukaryota; Viridiplantae; Streptophyta; Magnoliopsida; Poales; Poaceae
Description: partial small subunit ribosomal RNA
Source: RNAcentral
CAAAUGGUAUGCAAGGUACAAAGACUUGUUGAGUUUUAUCCCAAAGAUUUUUCAAGUGAUGACUUGAUACACCUUAAACUACAAGUUCAUAACUAUAUAGAUGACAUGAAAAAAGAUGACAACUUCCGAGGCCUUGGAAAUCCUGUUGAUCUCUCGGUUAAGCUUGGUCAAAUAGGGAGACAUAUAGUUCAUCAUUUGGUGUACUUGCUUCUAAAAUUGGUAUUUAUUCUACCGGUGGCAACAACAAAUGUUGUGAGCGCAUUUUUUGCCAUGAGCAUAGUCAAGAGCAAGUUGAGAAAUAAGAUGGGCGAUAGUCUUUUGGAUGAUUGUCUAGUC